This 826-nucleotide unclassified non-coding RNA is filed under the name Hevea brasiliensis (rubber tree). The record is from RNAcentral. Lineage: Eukaryota; Viridiplantae; Streptophyta; Magnoliopsida; Malpighiales; Euphorbiaceae.
UUUUGUCUUCUAGUUUUGCCACUUCUGAACUAUACAUGGACAGAUUGUUCUUUUCUUAUGGCUCCACAAAUUAAGUUUGUUUGUUCUCAGUUGUAGUCUGAAGCAAAGAUUAGUCUGAUCAUCAGAAACAGAAGGGAUGCUCGUCAUUAGUGAUGCUAGGAAAUAUUGUCUUUGGGGUUUGGGAAAAUGUUGCGCAUGUUGAUGAUACAGUACAAAUGGCUGCAGGAGGAAAAAGUGCUGUUGAAAAGCCUUCUUUUGUUUGAAUCCAUCAUGUGGGCAUAGGAUACGAAUGGCAUGGCUAAUUUGGAUUGUUAAGUAAAGGAUUAAGGGAGUGGAACCUUAUCUAUAUUUAGAAUUCAGGUUCUGAUAAUGAUUAGCACCAAAGUACAAGCCCUGAGAGAUAAGGUAACUGCCAAAAUGAGGGUUUGUUCGACUGAAUCUUCCCUAAGCUAUCGGUUGUGAUCUGUUAUUGGAACAAGUUAGGUAUGCUAUUGAGCAGCAGAAGCAUAGACAAGAUGGCCAUCAGAGGGUGAGUAUAGAAAAAUUUAAAACAAUUUUAGAGCAGCCUUGGGAUAGGUUGGCAUAGAAAACAAAUAUCAUAUGUCUCGGUAUUCUCAGAGGUUGGUCCAGAAUGAGCAGGAUACUGGAAUUCUGAGUUCAGGAAAAGAGUAAUGAACUUAAAAUUAUGUCAAUUAGGAAGGGAAUGAAGUGGGCCAGAGUUUAAAUAGCAGUAGCCAAGGUAGGCUGUGACAAUUAGCAGAGGUUCUGACUUCCUGCUACUGGCCAAUGAGCAAGAAAUUAAGAAGAGCUUUUUUUUUUUAAAAAG